CCUACGGGAGGCAGCAGUGAGGAAUAUUGGUCAAUGGGCGGAAGCCUGAACCAGCCAAGUAGCGUGCGGGAUGAAGGCCCUACGGGUCGUAAACCGCUUUUGCACGGGGGUAACACCCUCCACGUGUAGAUGUCUGCAGGUACCGUGCGAAUAAGGACCGGCUAAUUCCGUGCCAGCAGCCGCGGUAAUACGGAGGACCCAAGCGUUAACCGGAUUCAUUGGGCUUAAGGGGAGCGUAGGCGGUCGGUCAAGUGAGCGGUAAAAUCGCGCGGCUCAACCGGGAACCGCAGUUGAAACUGGACGCCUUGAGUGUACAACAGGCAGGCGGAAUUCGUGGUGUAGCGGUGAAAUGCAUAGAGAUCACGAGGAACCCCGAUUGCGAAGGCAGCCUGCCGGGGUGCGACUGACGCUGAGGCUCGAAGGUGCGGGUAUCAAACAGGAUUAGAUACCCCAGUAGUC
RNAcentral lists this ribosomal RNA (459 nucleotides) under uncultured bacterium. RNAcentral describes it as "partial 16S ribosomal RNA". It matches the Rfam family "Bacterial small subunit ribosomal RNA", at positions 338 to 795 of the family's 1533-position model. The record is from RNAcentral.